AUGGCCGGCGGCGUUGAUCGCCUGUCCGGCCUCCCCGACGAGCUCCUCGUGCGCGUCCUCCACUUCGUCCCAGGCAAGCAGGCGGCCGCCACGACCGCUCUCUCGCGGCGAUGGCGCUCGCCGCUCUGGCGGUCCUCAGGCGCCGUAAACCUAGAGACGUAUGUCGAGGACUGGGGCUACUACAUGUCCAUGUGCAACGAUAAGAGUGGAAGAUGGGACGACCGCCUCUUCUUGUCCCGGCGCGACGCCUUCAUGUCCGCGGCCGAGGCGACGUUCGACGCCGCCGACGUCCCCGUCACGAGGCUCACCCUUCGUGUCACCGGUCACACCUGCAUUGACUUGUUCCUGAACGGUCACUGGGAUGUGAAGUUGCCGUCGCCGUGGUCUCCGGACCAUGGCGUGCUCGCCAAGCUGCUCUCCCACCAGGUGGCGCGCCGCGUCGAGGAGCUCCGGCUCGACGCAUACAACGUCUACUCGGACGACCAGACCAGUAGUCUCAGCUCCCUCGGCCUCUACGUGCUCAACCUAGGCUCCGUGCAGUCGGAGAACCUCCGCGUGCUGGACCUCACCAACUGCUGCGAACUCGUUCCGCCGGCCUCCGCGGUUGUGUUCCCGCGCCUUUCGUCGCUGCGGCUGCACCAUGGCACCGUGCGGCUCGACGCCCUCUAG
RNAcentral lists this ribosomal RNA (669 nucleotides) under Triticum aestivum (bread wheat). Its description in RNAcentral is "partial small subunit ribosomal RNA". The record is from RNAcentral. Lineage: Eukaryota; Viridiplantae; Streptophyta; Magnoliopsida; Poales; Poaceae.